RNAcentral lists this transfer RNA (87 nucleotides) under Candidatus Bathyarchaeota archaeon ex4484_135. RNAcentral describes it as "tRNA-Ser". It matches the Rfam family "tRNA". Rfam says of the family: Transfer RNA (tRNA) molecules are approximately 80 nucleotides in length. Their secondary structure includes four short double-helical elements and three loops (D, anti-codon, and T loops). RNAcentral also lists the same sequence under 1 other name. Lineage: Archaea; Thermoproteati; Candidatus Bathyarchaeota. The record is from RNAcentral.
GCCGGGGUCCCCUAGCCUGGUAUGGGGGUGGCCUGCUAAGCCACUGGGCGCAAGCCCGCCCGGGUUCAAAUCCCGGCCCCGGCGCCA